Molecule: ribosomal RNA, 484 nt
Filed under: uncultured bacterium
Lineage: Bacteria
Description: partial 16S ribosomal RNA
Rfam family: Bacterial small subunit ribosomal RNA
Source: RNAcentral
AUUGAACGCUGGCGGCAGGCCUAACACAUGCAAGUCGAGCGGAUGAAGGGAGCUUGCUCCUGGAUUCAGCGGCGGACGGGUGAGUAAUGCCUAGGAAUCUGCCUGGUAGUGGGGGAUAACGUCCGGAAACGGGCGCUAAUACCGCAUACGUCCUGAGGGAGAAAGUGGGGGAUCUUCGGACCUCACGCUAUCAGAUGAGCCUAGGUCGGAUUAGCUAGUUGGUGGGGUAAGGGCCUACCAAGGCGACGAUCCGUAACUGGCCUGAGAGGAUGAUCAGUCACACUGGAACUGAGACACGGUCCAGACUCCUACGGGAGGCAGCAGUGGGGAAUAUUGGACAAAGGGCGAAAGCCUGAUCCAGCCAUGCCGCGUGUGUGAAGAAGGUCUUCGGAUUGUAAAGCACUUUAAGUUGGGAGGAAGGGCAGUAAGUUAAUACCUUGCUGUUUUGACGUUACCAACAGAAUAAGCACCGGCUAACUUCGUG